RNAcentral lists this small RNA (628 nucleotides) under Cyperus diffusus. RNAcentral's name for it is "eukaryotic LSU rRNA". The stretch from base 194 to 348 matches the Rfam family "5.8S ribosomal RNA". Lineage: Eukaryota; Viridiplantae; Streptophyta; Magnoliopsida; Poales; Cyperaceae. The record is from RNAcentral.
UUGUCGUUGCCUCCAACACGACCGGUGAACAAGUAACAUAAAGCUGUCGGGGAGGAGUUUCCUCCCCGACCCCACCGGCUCCGACCCUUUGGUCGUGUGUCGGAACACGGCGCGGAUUGUCGCCAAGGAACACUGAAUUUGCUUAGGCAGACGACAUUAUGUCGGUGCUGCUGAUGCCAAAAGAAACCAAUAUGACUCUCGGCAACGGAUAUCUCGGCUCUCGCAUCGAUGAAGAACGUAGCGAAAUGCGAUACGUGGUGUGAAUUGCAGAAUCCCGUGAACCAUCGAGUCUUUGAACGCAAGUUGCGCCCGAGGGAUCCUCCCGAGGGCACGCCUGCCUGGGCGUUAGAAGCCCAUCAACGCUCGGUCACCCCUCCAUGUACCUCGUGGCAGGGGACCCGACCAGACGCGGACAUUGGCCCUCCGAGUUUUAAACAACACGGUGGGCUCAAGUGCAUGGCCGUCGAUGGUGUCGGGAGCGGCGAGUGGUGGACUGCUUCGCACGCCAACCCCGACCCCUGUAUCGACGUAUGACCCUUUUUGACUCCCAAACAAGGAGGCUGUCGGUGCGGCGUCUCUGCCGUUCGGCAUCUUCGGACCUAUACCCCAGGUCAGGCGGGGCUACCCG